GGAUCUAUGAUGAUUCCCACUCAAACAUUCCUUAGAAAAGCUGAACAAAAUGAAUGAAAUAUCAGAACUGCAACUCUAAUUGAAACUGAGUUCU
This is a small nucleolar RNA of Apodemus sylvaticus (European woodmouse), 94 nucleotides long. RefSeq annotates it as small nucleolar RNA SNORD116. Lineage: Eukaryota; Metazoa; Chordata; Mammalia; Rodentia; Muridae. The record is from RefSeq and is a predicted model, not a curated record. The transcript has a single exon.